RNAcentral lists this ribosomal RNA (447 nucleotides) under uncultured organism. Its description in RNAcentral is "partial 16S ribosomal RNA". It matches the Rfam family "Bacterial small subunit ribosomal RNA", at positions 335 to 798 of the family's 1533-position model. The record is from RNAcentral.
ACUCCUGCGGGAGGCAGCAGUGGGGAAUCUUGCGCAAUGGGCGAAAGCCUGACGCAGCCAUGCCGCGUGAAUGAUGAAGGUCUUAGGAUUGUAAAAUUCUUUCACCGGGGACGAUAAUGACGGUACCCGGAGAAGAAGCCCCGGCUAACUUCGUGCCAGCAGCCGCGGUAAUACGAAGGGGGCUAGCGUUGCUCGGAAUUACUGGGCGUAAAGGGAGCGUAGGCGGACAUUUAAGUCAGGGGUGAAAUCCCGGGGCUCAACCUCGGAAUUGCCUUUGAUACUGGGUGUCUUGAGUAUGAGAGAGGUGUGUGGAACUCCGAGUGUAGAGGUGAAAUUCGUAGAUAUUCGGAAGAACACCAGCGGCGAAGGCGACACACUGGCUCAUUACUGACGCUGAGGCUCGAAAGCGUGGGGAGCAAACAGGAUUAGAAACCCUUGUAGUCCCAU